UACGGGGGGGGCAAGCGUUGUUCGGAAUUACUGGGCGUAAAGGGCGCGUAGGCGGCCGAUCAAGUCAGGCGUGAAAUUCCCGGGCUCAACCUGGGGGCUGCGCUUGAUACUGAUUGGCUUGAAUGCGGGAGAGGAUAGUGGAAUUCCCAGUGUAGAGGUGAAAUUCGUAGAUAUUGGGAAGAACACCGGUGGCGAAGGCGGCUAUCUGGCCCGUAAUUGACGCUGAGGCGCGAAAGCGUGGGGAGCAAACAGG
Molecule: ribosomal RNA, 253 nt
Filed under: uncultured bacterium
Lineage: Bacteria
Description: partial 16S ribosomal RNA
Rfam family: Bacterial small subunit ribosomal RNA
Source: RNAcentral